CGCCCGUCACACCAUGAGAGUUGGUAAUACCAGAAGCACGUAUCUUAACCGUAAGGAGGGAGCGUACCAAGGUAGGAUUAGCGAUUAGGGUGAAGUCGUAACAAGGUAUCCGUACGGGAACGUGCGGAUGGAUCACCUCCUUUCUAUGGAGUAUUCGUAGAUUAAGAGAAAAAGCUGAGUGAAACGAUAAAACAGCUUAUGAUUAUAUCUCGUUCUAUCUAGUUUUCAGAGAUUGUUUUUGCGGGCCUUUUGGCCCAAACAAUUUCUGUAAAGAAAAUCGUUCUUUGAAAACUGAAUAUUAGAUGAAAAUAGACAUUUUAUUUUUCUUACGUUUAUAAACAAUAUAAAACGUAUUAGUAACUUAAUUUAGAUUAAUACUAAGAAAACUAAAAUUUCAUUAAUUUUAUAGAUUAUCUAUAUAUGCAAUAGGUUUUUCUUUAGAAAGUAUAGUAAGGGCGUAUGGUGAAUGCCUUGGAAAAUGGAGCCGAUGAAGGACGUGACUACCUGCGAAAAGUGCCGGGGAGCUGGAAGUAAGCUUUGAUCCGACAAUGUCCGAAUGGGGAAACCCAGCACGAUUAAUCUCGUGUUAUCCAUAACUGAAUACAUAGGUUAUGAGAAGGGAACCUUGGGAACUGAAACAUCUUAGUACCAAGAGGAAAAGAAAACGAAUGUGAUUCUGUAAGUAGCGGCGAGCGAAAGCGGAACAGGCCAAACCGGUCUACGGGCCGGGGUUGUAGGACUCAUGUUAGAGUUACAAAGUUAGUGUAUAGCAGAAGCUGUUGGGAAGCAGCGCCGCAGAGGGUGAUAGCCCCGUAUGCGAAAUGCACUAACCUCGAGUGAGUAUCCUGAGUACGGCGGGGCACGAGAAACCCUGUCGGAAUCUACCCAGACCACUGGGUAAGCCUAAAUACUACCAUUUUACCGAUAGUGAACCA
RNAcentral lists this small RNA (935 nucleotides) under Spiroplasma floricola. Its description in RNAcentral is "bacterial LSU rRNA". The stretch from base 440 to 935 matches the Rfam family "Bacterial large subunit ribosomal RNA", at positions 1 to 497 of the family's 2925-position model. Lineage: Bacteria; Bacillati; Mycoplasmatota; Mollicutes; Entomoplasmatales; Spiroplasmataceae. The record is from RNAcentral.